RNAcentral lists this ribosomal RNA (250 nucleotides) under uncultured bacterium. RNAcentral's name for it is "partial 16S ribosomal RNA". It matches the Rfam family "Bacterial small subunit ribosomal RNA", at positions 355 to 597 of the family's 1533-position model. The record is from RNAcentral.
UGGGGAAUAUUGGACAAUGGGGGCAACCCUGAUCCAGCCAUGCCGCGUGUGUGAAGAAGGCCUUCGGGUUGUAAAGCACUUUAAGCAGGGAGGAAGGCUCGCGACCUAAUACGUUGCGGGAGUGACGUUACCUGCAGAAUAAGCACCGGCAAACUCCGUGCCAGCAGCCGCGGUAAUACGGAGGGUGCAAGCGUUAAUCGGAAUUACUGGGCGUAAAGCGCACGUAGGUGGUUUGUUAAGUCGGAUGUGA